UGAUGACAUCAUCAGGAAGCUGUAUCUGAUUCAGUGUAUUCAACCAUGACCAUUUAUUGUUACACGUUCACGUUUUUUUUUGGAAGGUACAAAACCACCUCCACCGCCUCCACCACCACCACCACCAACAACAACAACAACAAUAACCACGACAACGGCUGCAACAUCAAAACCUCCACCACCGGCAACAACAGUGAGACAAACAACAACAACCAUGAUGAUGACAACGAGAACAGCAGCAACAACAACACAAACAAUGUCAGCAUCAGCAACAACUGACUCAAGCCUGGAACCACCUGAAAAAUCUAAUCCAGCCCUGAUCAUCACAGCUGUUGGUUUGGCAGCGCUCGUCAUAGCUGCUGUGGCCGUCAUCAUGUGGAGGAGAGCCAAAGGGACCAGAACACGGAGUGGAGACGAUGUUGCCGGAGCUGCAGAUGCUGAAGCUGCAGAUGCUGAAGCUGCAGAUGCUGUUUACUACGCCUCCAUCAGCCACGCCACCGACAGCAGCUCGGCCCGGGUAAGCCGCCUCAUCACAUCCAGCACGUGCUACGACACACUGAGCAUCAUGUGUUUGUGUGUCUGUCGUCUCCCAGCUUCCUGAACGUGACGCCGUGAUCUACAGCACCGUCCAGGCCCCCGUCAGCUCCGCUGCAGCCUCUGUGGACCCCGCCCACCUGUACGCCUCCGUGAAUAAGACGAGAGGCCUCACAGCUGAUGGUUUAUAUUAAUAAGCAGAUAUUUGUAGUGUGAACUGGAGACAAGAGCUCUGCUGCAGUGUUGUAUACAUUGACCAUGAUGUGUUGAUAUAUUUCUGUUAUUAUUAGUUCAUCAGCAUUUUAUUGAUUGUUGUAAAAAAGACUUUGUCCAGCAGGGGGAGCCAUAGAUCAAUAACAUCAGUCCAAAGCAGAGCAGUGUCAGAAGAGUCUGUCCACUUCCUGUUCAUGACCCAGAGGGCGCUAACUCCUCCAUGAACGGAGAUAAAAUCAUUAUUUUCACCUGCUUCUGGACUAAACAUCAGAUUUUUUCAUGUUUGACUCAUUUACACAGUAUUGAUUAAAUAUCAGAACUUAACUGAAACCAGCAAACUGUCGUUUAAUCUCUGUUACAGCUGAGGUCAUUUUGACAAUAACAUGUUAGCAUCAUGCUAACAGCUGCUGAUUGGUCAGUUCAGAUUAGGACUGAUGGUGACAGGAGCUCCUUUACAGAGACCCAGAGUCUGACCCCUGAACAAAGACUUUAGAAGAGGACCCGGAUCAAAACAGGGGUGAUGGUCUGCAGGGUAGAGGAGGAGGA
Molecule: long non-coding RNA, 1293 nt
Organism: Parambassis ranga (Indian glassy fish)
Lineage: Eukaryota; Metazoa; Chordata; Actinopteri; Ambassidae
Source: Ensembl